Molecule: ribosomal RNA, 465 nt
Filed under: uncultured bacterium
Lineage: Bacteria
Description: partial 16S ribosomal RNA
Rfam family: Bacterial small subunit ribosomal RNA
Source: RNAcentral
UUACGGGAGGCAGCAGUGAGGAAUUUUGCGCAAUGGGGGAAACCCUGACGCAGCAACGCCGCGUGAGUGAAGAAGGCCCUUGGGUCGUAAAGCUCUGUCAAUGGGGAAGAAGUUACUUGGUAUUAAUAGUGCCUUGUAUUGACGGUACCCAUGAAGGAAGCACCGGCUAACUCCGUGCCAGCAGCCGCGGUAAUACGGGGGGUGCAAGCGUUAUUCGGAAUUAUUGGGCGUAAAGGGCACGCAGGCGGUCCUGUCAGUCAGAUGUGAAAGCCCGGGGCUCAACCCCGGACGUGCAUUUGAAACAGCAGGACUUGAGUACGGGAGAGGAAAGGGGAAUUCCUGGUGUAGAGGUGAAAUUCGUAGAUAUCAGGAGGAACACCGGUGGCGAAGGCGCCUUUCUGGACCGAUACUGACGCUGAGGUGCGAAGGCGUGGGUAGCGAACGGGAUUAGAUACCCGAGUAGUC